Non-coding RNA from Pelmatolapia mariae (spotted tilapia), 412 nucleotides. The record is from the annotation of a RefSeq genome assembly. Lineage: Eukaryota; Metazoa; Chordata; Actinopteri; Cichliformes; Cichlidae.
UGAAAACUGAGUCAGGAUGGUGUUUCCAAUGUUGGUGGUUCUUUUGUUAGGCUUUCUGAGUCAGGAGUCAUUUGCCAAUAAUUUUCUGACUCAGACUGAUGAAGCCAAGUCUGUCAGUCUUGGUGGGACUGUGACCAUCAGCGCCACAGGAAGUUCAGAUAUUGGUGGUUAUCUCAGUUGGUACCUUCAGAAACCUGGACAGCCUCCCAAACUACUUAUAUACAGAGCAUCAAGUCGCUUCUCAGGAACUCCGUCUCGAUUCAGUGGCAGUAGAUCUGGUUCUCAGUACCAGGUUUUCGUUAACGAUAAUAACCUUGCUCAGUACACUUUAACCAUCAGUGGGUUUCAGGCUGAAGAUGCUGGAGAUUAUUACUGUCUGGGUGAUCAUGGUGAUGGAGUGUUCACACAGUGA